UACAGAGACUGCAAGCGUUAUUCGGAUUCACUGGGCGUAAGGGGUGCGCAGGCGGCCAAGUGUGUUAGGCGUGAAAGCCCGGGGCUUAACCCCGGAAUUGCACCUAAAACUACAUGGCUAGAGCAUUGGAGAGGGUAGCGGAAUUCACGGUGUAGCAGUGAAAUGCGUAGAUAUCGUGAGGAACACCAGAGGCGAAGGCGGCUACCUGGACAAUUGCUGACGCUCAGGCACGAAAGCGUGGGGAGCAAAAGGG
This 253-nucleotide ribosomal RNA is filed under the name uncultured bacterium. RNAcentral's name for it is "partial 16S ribosomal RNA". It matches the Rfam family "Bacterial small subunit ribosomal RNA", at positions 524 to 776 of the family's 1533-position model. The record is from RNAcentral.